UCGAAGAAAAGUUCACUCUUUUUAUUUUAAAAAGGAAAUACCCACCCUAGACAAAAUUUUAAUGGAGCUUGGCCGAGAUGACAGUAUUCCGUUGAUAAGUAGAAAACUUUUAUGGAAAACUUUAAAAAAUAUGGAUUUUGCCUGGGAAAAGCAUAACCGCAAAGCACUUUUACUGGAGAGCGACGAAAUUGUUUGUUGGAGACGACAAUACUUGAGAAGUAUCAAGCAGUACCGCAGGGAGCAAAAGAAAGUUUUUUAUCUUGAUGAGACGUGGAUUAACGAAGGUUAUAUAGUCCAAAAAAUGUGGCAAGACAAAAAUAUAACCAGUGCUCGCCAAGCUUUCAUAGAAGGCCUGUCUACGGGUAUUAAAGUACCUUCGGGAAAAGGAAAAAGACUUAUAAUCACACAUAUUGGAAGCGAAAAGGGAUUUUUAAAAGAAGGUCUGCUAACCUUUGAGUCGACUCGCACAGGAGAUUACCAUGAAGACAUGAACUCAGACGUUUUCUAGGACUAUUUUGGUGAAAUGAUAAAAUUUCUUCCGGCUAAUUCGGUAGUGGUUAUGGAUAACGCAAGCUAUCAUUCACGGCGAAUAGAGAAGACGCCAACUUCAAGUUGGAGAAAGCAAGAAAUUAUCGAUUGGCUGACUGCAAAAGGUAUUGCGUUUGAAGCAAAUUUGAUAAAAAAAGAACUGCUGGCAAUAGCAAACUUACACAAAACUCGUUUCAUGAAAUACGCCGUGGAAGAUAUAGCCGAAAAAUAUAAUAUAACUGUACUGCGCUUACCGCCAUAUCAUUGCGAACUAAAUCCUAUAGAACUGAUAUGGGCGCAGGUAAAAGGAUUUGUAGCAAGACAAAACACGACUUUUAAAAUGAAAGAUGUUAAGCUACUGUUUGAUCAAGCCAUUACGGAAGCGACACCAGAGAAUUGGCGAAAAGCAGUCCAGCAUGUAAUUAAGCAAGAGGACAAAAUGUGGGAUCUUGACAACCUUAUCGAUCAGACAGUCGAUCCUUUAAUUAUAAUGUCGAGAGGUGAUGACAGUUCGUCAGAUGACGAAGAAGACUACAAUCUAUUAUAAUUUAAAAUUGUUAUACACUGUUCAAAAAGUGCCAGAUCCAAAAGUGACAUUUUCAACUGUUUUACUCUACUACUAUAUUAUGUUCAAUAAAUUUGUGAAAAAAAUAUAUUAUUCCAUUUAAAGAAAAGUAACUUUCUGAAAUAAAAUAGCAUUUAAGUACAUUAAUUAUAAGGUAAAAAACAAGUCCCAGUUACACGCCUUUGGCGAACCGUUUUCAAUGUUUAUCAGUAGGUAACAAUGGGCAAAACUCAUAAAUUGACCCAAAACCGGGUGGCACUACCUGCAAUCAACGAAAAGAAAGAAUUUUACAUUGAAACUAAUACCCAACUAAGGUAGUGGCAUAAAAUAUUGGUGGAUCACCAGGUACCACUUUUGCAUACCUAAUGAGGUUUUAUUGCUCUACACACUUCUGGAAUAGAGUAUAAAAGCUGUUUCUUUAGCAUAAAAGACGCACUUAUGGCGACGACAAAAAACAAUAGGUGUGUUUACAGGGGAUGUCUUAAUAAAAAGAAACAUAAAAACAAUCAUGUGAGUUUCUUUAAGUUCCCAGUGUCUAAAUCACAUAUACUUUUUGAGUGGAUUCAGAACUGUGGAAAUAUGGAUAUUUUUUUAAUGGAGGAGACACUACUAAAAAAUAAACGAAUAUGUGAAAAUCAUUUUUUGAAAAAUGAUAUUUACAUAAGUGGUCAAAGAAAACUAUUAAGAAAAAAUGCGGUACCCUUAUCUUGGAAAAAUACAAAAAUAAUUCCUGGCACCUCGCAAAUUCAAGAGAAUAUUUCGCAGCCUAAUCCAAAAAAUGUUAAGGAAGUUAUUCCUAGUUAUUCGAAAACUAAGGAGAAUACUUGGCAGCAUACUCGCAUUUCUACAACUCUAGGAGAUAAACCAUUAAAAACUUAUUCUCGUAAGAGGCUUCACGAAGAUGAGAUCGUCGUUGGUCAACGUGAAAAUGUUAAAUUUGUAAAAUACACUCCCAGUUCCCAAAGCACACGGACAGUUCCAAAGAACAUUGUAGAUUAUCCAGAUACCGCAUCUUCUACAAAAUCUAUUAUUAAAAAAAAAUCUAUAGUUUUAACUUCAUUAGAAAAAAAGUUAAAAGCUCAAAAAAAUGAAUAUUUACGUCUUAAAAAGAAGGCAAAUCUAGCGUCUAAGAACUUUUUCGCCCAUUUAUUAACAGGAAAAAGUACUGCUGUUAAAACAUUAAUUAACAUGCAGUUAUCCCCAACGAAGAAAAAAUUUUGGACGACCAAUGAGCGACAUUUGGCACUUUCUUUUUAUUAUAAGUCGCCUGCAUGUUACAAGUUUUUAAGAGAAGAAUUGCGGUUUUCGUUGCCGUCCAUUCGUACGAUUCAGUCGUAGCUUCGAGUUAUGUAUUUAAAAACUGGUUUGGAAAAUAUCUUGACAAAGAAAAUAAACUAAAAAAAAGGUCGGAACCUUCGAACAUUGAAAGCCUAGAAUUAGCAAGCAAUAAGUUUGUUUGAGUUCAACAUGUGCCAGGGGUAAGGAGGGUGUUUUGUUUAUAAACAUAGUCAUCGAUUCUCUGUUGUCAAGUUUACACGCAUUUUAAAAAGAGGACAUUUUCGGCUAUGUAUGAACACAUAUAAUAAUCGUAAUUUAACUUAUUGAUGUCAGAUUUUGGAUUAAAAAAACCUAACUAAAGUAUAAAUAGAUAUAUGUUAUUCUAAACGUGAAAAUAGCAUCUUUAAAGCAAAACAAAUAUUAACAUUUUUAUUUCUAAAACCGCUUCUAAAAAAUUUGAACUGGCAACACUACAGGCAAAAGCUGAUGUCAUCUUGAUAAACGGCUUUGUUGUAUAAUAAAAACUUUAAUAAAAAAGAAAUUUAUUAAGGAAUCUAUAAUAAUUAUAAAUUAUUUAAUUUCCAUGAAAAUGCUUUUUAUUAGAUAAGUACCUUUACUCUAACGAAGUACGUUAGAAAAACGCAUAAAGAGUUCAUGAAUGGUAACAUUGUUUAUAAUUUAAAGCGUAAUAUAAUAAUAAAUAUUUAUCAUGUAAAUAUUUUUCGACGUCGUCAUUGGUCAAUCAACAAUGCGAUCGGGCGGCGUUGCGAUGUUGUUGCCUUUUUCUCUAAUAUAGGGACGUUUGACUUCUUUAUAGAAUAUCUUUUCAUAUUUUAUGAAAAAAAAAAUGUUGUUAAAGAGGAAUAUUAUUAUUUUGCGCCUGUUAAAUAAGUGAUACAUUUUUACGAUAUUAUAAAGUAGGUUUUUUUGUCAUUUCUACAUAAGCAUUUGGCAUCAUUGCAUCAGAGAUGUUGCUAGCAAACAAACGGCCCAUAGUUCAAUUGCAAUACUAAUUCUUUCAAUGUUCUAAGGUCGAAACCAUGAUAGAAGAGAACGAGCAUGUGUAGUCUUUUUUAAUGCAAUUAAAUAAGAGCCUAAGUCACAAUAUAAUAAAUAUUAUCAUCCUAAGCAACACGCGAGGUUUAUUUUUGGUUUACACGUUUAAGUAUUAAGUAAGUUAAGCGUUUAAGUAUGGUAUAUUGUUUACUAUUUAAAGACUAUACUAUAGACUAUUGUUUACUAUUUAUAUGUUUAAUAAACAAAUAUACUUACCAUUAAUAAAA
This 3654-nucleotide unclassified non-coding RNA is filed under the name Anthonomus grandis grandis. RNAcentral describes it as "uncharacterized LOC126740745". Lineage: Eukaryota; Metazoa; Arthropoda; Insecta; Coleoptera; Curculionidae. The record is from RNAcentral.